This is an unclassified non-coding RNA of Erinaceus europaeus (western European hedgehog), 287 nucleotides long. Its record names the gene 7SK. It matches the Rfam family "7SK RNA". From Rfam's summary of the family: 7SK was discovered as an abundant small nuclear RNA in the mid-70s but a possible function has only recently been suggested. Two independent studies have found that 7SK RNA binds the CDK9/cyclin T complex (known as elongation factor P-TEFb). P-TEFb activates transcription by phosphorylating the C-terminal domain of RNA polymerase II. The record is from Ensembl. Lineage: Eukaryota; Metazoa; Chordata; Mammalia; Eulipotyphla; Erinaceidae.
GGAUGUGAGAGUGAUCUGGCUAUGACAUCUGUCACUCCAUUGAUCACCAGGGUUGAUUUGUCUGAUCUGGCUGGCUUGGCGGGUGUCCCCUUCCUCCCUCACCUCUCCAAGUCAAAGAGGUCAGGUCGGCCUUCCCCGAAUAGAGACUGACGGGUUGGUAGAAGGUAUACCAGUAGCUGCACUCCCCUGCUAGAACCUCCAAACAAGCUCUCAAAGGUGCAGUGAAGAGAUUAGUAAAUUUGUAUUGUGUAUUGCAGAAAAAAAAAACCCUGAAACAAUAGAUUUUU